Molecule: ribosomal RNA, 79 nt
Filed under: Bacillus pumilus
Lineage: Bacteria; Bacillati; Bacillota; Bacilli; Caryophanales; Bacillaceae
Description: partial 23S ribosomal RNA
Rfam family: Bacterial large subunit ribosomal RNA
Source: RNAcentral
AGGAGUAUGAGAAGGCAUACCCGGGGAACUGAAACAUCUAAGUACCCGGAGGAAGAGAAAGCAAAUGCGAUUCCCUGAG